UGGCAGUGAGGAGAGAUUGAAAGGCCGGUCUUACGGCUGCCUCCCCGGAUGAUCUUCGUCCUGGGAUGGUAGUAGCGUGAUGUGAUUCGAAUCGGCGAAAGGUUUAUCUCUGAGCCGC
This is a small nucleolar RNA of Lolium rigidum, 118 nucleotides long. RefSeq annotates it as small nucleolar RNA snoR113. The transcript has a single exon. The record is from RefSeq and is a predicted model, not a curated record. Lineage: Eukaryota; Viridiplantae; Streptophyta; Magnoliopsida; Poales; Poaceae.